Molecule: long non-coding RNA, 2801 nt
Organism: Papaver somniferum (opium poppy)
Lineage: Eukaryota; Viridiplantae; Streptophyta; Magnoliopsida; Ranunculales; Papaveraceae
Exons: 7
Source: RefSeq, a predicted model, not a curated record
UUUUGUUUGUCUUCCGGUGGGGUUCUCUUGUGUUGGUCGUUUGCUCUCUGCUAUUAUUCCUCCAGAAUCACUCAGAAAUCACAAUCAUGCAGUCAUCCUUGUUAAAUUCUACUGUAUCCUUUGGAACUUAUGCUUUCAACAAACCCUAUAAUGAAUCCUCACUUUUUCCCAAGAAGAGUCCGUUUCUCCAUGACUUUGCUCCUCCUAGGAAACUUGUAUUAACGGUCUCUAACAAGAAGCAGAAGCCACUUAUCAUCAAAUCUUCUAUCCAAGAUUUUGUCAAGACAUCUGCUGUAUUGACUAAUCAGAUAUUUCAGUCUGGGUAAGUUCAUAUUAGUUUUUUUGAUAUCUGUUUGUCAUUUAGUUUUUUCAAUCCCUGUCAAACAUGAUUGGUUUUAAAUUUGGUGGAGGACUCUUCGAAAAAGGUGAUUUACCAUUAUUUAAGGGGGAAGACUUGAUACAGUUGAAACACAAUGGGAAGUGCAUUGUUGGAGUGGUGCAGCACAUAGGGUUUUUGGAGACUACUCUUAUAGGUCCUACUGGAUUAAUCAUUCUUCAAAACUCUAAAAUUGAUUUGUGUGCGAUUAUCAAUUUUACUAAAAUAACGGGCAGUGAUAAGCUGUUUGGAUUUCACACCCAUGUUGAUUGCAACACUGAUCCCAGCUUCUUCAUGGAGAAUAUUGAAUCUCUACUUGACAAGGAUGAAAAUGUGAAAGAAAACAUCGCAUACAGUAUUGUUUACAUGUUGCGCGAUCCUGAAAAGAUCCUUGUUUCGUGCUAUGUGAACUGUUCUAAGCUGCAAAUUCCACAGUUUAAAAGUUACCUUCAAUUUGGAGGACAAGUUCUUACUGCUAUUGAUAGGAUUGGUUAUGGAAAUAAGGCUGUUGCAAAUUAUUCAAAUUUAGAGGAUUAUCAUAAAUCAUUGGGGGUCCAAUUGUAGAUUAUUAGAUAAGAAAAUUUUUAAUACAGGUGUAAUUUUUUGUUUCAAAAACUUGAUUUCAUUUUCUUGUCACCACUCUUAAAACCCAUGUUCCUAAACAACCACUCUUAAGAACUGCUGGUUGGGUGAUCUGACAAGAGUAGACUAGCUAUGGAAGCCAAUUGGAUUGCAAGGGGUGUCCCCUAUGUGUAUUGUGUUUGGAAGAAGAAGAAAAUGCAGGCCAUUUGAUGCAGGGGCGGAGCCAGCUUAGAGCAUGGGUGUGCAGUUGCACACCCAGCCUAGCUGGUUCCCAGGCUCAUUUUUAGCUAGGACCAUUUGAAAAUUUUAGUCCCAUUUUGCACCCCAUCAAUGAACCCAUAUCGGUGACUUCAAAACCUGGCUCCGCCCCUAAAUUUUGGAUGUUAACUCGUCAAGUGUGGGGCUUGAUCAUUUUGGGUUACAAGGCAGGAGAGAAAAUCUAGAAAAGCAUGAAGAAAGAGGAUUUGGUCUUGAAUAUUAAAGCUUCAACUUUCUCAUGGUUAUGGUAUUCAAUCCAGGGAUAUACCAUUCCAUUCUACUGAAAACCAUUAUAAAAGGAUGAAUCUUUGUAAUUUUUUACUUUUGAUCCGAUGUUACUCCACUAAACUUAAACCCGACAUUCUCAAACACCAAACCUCCCCUACUCCCUAGGCCAUUUUUUCUUCUCAAAUUCUUCUAAAAAAAACCGGGCUGGAUUUGCCAUCCUCUCACCAAUUUCUGAUCAUGUCGAGUUCUGCUGUAUCUUUUGGACCUCACGCUUUCAACAAACCCUAUACCGAAUCCUCAUUGUUUCCCAAGAAGAAUCCAUUUCUCCAUGACUUUGUUCCUGCAAAGAAACUUGUAUUAACAGUCUCCAACAAGAAGCAGAAGCCACUUAUUGUCAAUUCUUCUAUCAAGGACUCAGUCAAAACAUCUGCUGUAUCAGUAUUUCAGUCCCUUGCAUCUUUUGAUACAUGGGUUGUUCAGUCUUUAUCAAACCUGAUUGAAUUUAAACCUAAAGCUAAUCGACUCUCUAGUGGACUCUUCGUAGAGGGGGAUUUAAUACAGUUGAAACACAAUGGGAAACGUAUUCCUUUAAUGGUGCAGCACAUAGGGUUUUUGGAGACAACUCUUACAUGUAUUGGUGGAUUAAUCAUUCUUCACAAUCAUAAAAUCGAUAAGGGCUCGAUUACCAAUCUCACUAUAAGGGUACCUGCUACGAAGUUAGAUAAUGAGCAGCCAGAGGACUAGAUGCAGAGCAGGUUGAGGCACAAGCACCUUUUGAGAAUUACUUCACAAUUAGAGAUACCUUGCUUUUAAAGCUGCAUAAGCUUACCGACACGUACGAUUACUCGAGUAGUUUAACAUCAGAAUCGACUUCUACCAUCUCAUAGUUAUCAAGUAAAGGCAAAACAUAGGGUAAGCCAAUACUUAUGUUUACGGUGUACAGAAUUUCAAGACGUAUCGUUGUAGUAAUUUCGACUUCUGAAGUCCAAUAUCUCCUUUCUUAUGCGAGGGUUUUAUAUAUUUUACUGGCUAGUCUCUCUCACAGCAAUAUUCAGUUGGUUUUCUGUUCAUUCUCUUGAAAAGUGAGGGUGAAAUUCUUGUUGAUUAUAUAAGAAUCAUACAAGAAAGUUAGCCGUAUUCAACAUCUCAGUAACUUGUGAUUUUGCUUCAAACUAAUGUAUGAAAGUUCUGGUGUAAUUUUGAUUUGUGCACAUGUUGGAUUGUUCAACUUCACAAUGCAAGUAAAAAGCGAAAGUGAAACUGUACUAGACCUCUGUCGUUGCCUUAGAAUUCUGCUUUUGCCAUUUUCAAGAAACAUAAGUUUUCGUGUAUGAUUAAAGAUGCAAUUUUUACUUUA